AGGACGAACGCUGGCGGCGUGCUUAACACAUGCAAGUCGAGCGAGAACCAGGGCUUGCCCUGGGGACAGCGGCGAACGGGUGCGUAACACGUGAGCAACCUGCCCCAAAGACCGGGACAACCCGAGGAAACUCGGACUAAUACCGGAUGCCCUCACCGGGUCGCAUGGUCUGGUGAGGAAAUGGAUUCCGCUUUGGGAUGGGCUCGCGGUCUAUCAGCUUGUUGGUGGGGUAACGGCCUACCAAGGCGACGACGGAUAGCUGGUCUGAGAGGACGAUCAGCCACACUGGGACUGAGACACGGCCCAGACUCCUACGGGAGGCAGCAGUGGGGAAUCUUGCGCAAUGGGGGAAACCCUGACGCAGCGACGCCGCGUGCGGGAUGAAGGCCUUCGGGUUGUAAACCGCUUUCAGCAGGGACGAAUUGACGGUACCUGCAGAAGAAGGCCCGGCCAACUACGUGCCAGCAGCCGC
RNAcentral lists this ribosomal RNA (472 nucleotides) under uncultured bacterium. Its description in RNAcentral is "SSU rRNA". It matches the Rfam family "Bacterial small subunit ribosomal RNA", at positions 26 to 518 of the family's 1533-position model. The record is from RNAcentral.